GGGGAGUCCAACGGGUGUGAAGGAAAGUGAGGCUGAUCCCUCCCCUCGCCUCUGUGAAGUUAAGGUAUUAUUAUUAUGGUUUAUUACCGGCAUGCCCACUGAGCCAAAUGUCGGCUAGUGGUUAGCAUGGCGUUGGUAGUUUUGUGGGCAGUAUUGGUUGGGACGAGAGGGGAGGGCACAUGCCCAGGUGAGUUCCGAGGUUAAUGAUAAUUGAUUGGCAAGGACCAAAAUAUUGGUGAAAUAUUGUAAUUAAAAAAACUAUUUCCACACGUCACAGAAUGUUUUGCUGUAACAUGCCAGCUUUAUAAACAAAGAUAAAAUCCAAGCUUUGACCCGGCUGC
Molecule: non-coding RNA, 341 nt
Organism: Pelobates cultripes (western spadefoot toad)
Lineage: Eukaryota; Metazoa; Chordata; Amphibia; Anura; Pelobatidae
Source: the annotation of a GenBank genome assembly